RNAcentral lists this non-coding RNA (327 nucleotides) under Gossypium arboreum. Its description in RNAcentral is "Eukaryotic large subunit ribosomal RNA". It matches the Rfam family "Eukaryotic large subunit ribosomal RNA", at positions 24 to 352 of the family's 3401-position model. The record is from Rfam by way of RNAcentral. Lineage: Eukaryota; Viridiplantae; Streptophyta; Magnoliopsida; Malvales; Malvaceae.
CCCGCUGAGUUUGAGCAUAUCAAUAAGCGGAGGAAAAGAAACUUACCAGGAUUCCCCUAGUAACACCGAGCGAACCGGGAAAAGCCCAGCUUGAGAAUCGGGCACCACCGACGUUUGAAUUAUAGUCUGGAGAAGCGUCCUCGGUUGCGGAUCGGGACCAAGUCCCCUGAAAAGGGGCACCGGAGAGGGUGAGAGCCCCGUCGUGCCUGGACCCUAUCGCACCACGAGACCAAACAUUUUAAUAAAAUGUUUUGUUUUACUAAAACAAUGAUUUUGGUUUAUGAAAUUUGAGAAAACAAGUUCGGGAGUCGGUUACGUACGAGGAAG